This 406-nucleotide ribosomal RNA is filed under the name uncultured bacterium. Its description in RNAcentral is "partial 16S ribosomal RNA". It matches the Rfam family "Bacterial small subunit ribosomal RNA", at positions 30 to 526 of the family's 1533-position model. The record is from RNAcentral.
AUUGAACGCUGGCGGCAGGCCUAACACAUGCAAGUCGAACGAGUGGCGGACGGGUGAGUAAUGUCUGGGAAACUGCCUGAUGGAGGGGGAUAACUACUGGAAACGGUAGCUAAUACCGCAUAGCAUCAUAUGUGCCCAGAUGGGAUUAGCUAGUUGGUGGGGUAACGGUUCACCAAGGAGACGAUCCCUAGCUGGUCUGAGAGGAUGACCAGACACAAUGGAACUGAGACACGGUACAGAAUCCUACGGGAGGCAGCAGUGGGGAAUAUUGAACAAUGGGCGAAAGCCUGAGGCAGCAAUGCCGCGUGUAUGAAGAAGGCCUGCGGGUUGUAAAGUACUUUCAGCGGGGAGGCGUUACCCGCAGAAGAAGCACCGGCUAACUCCGUGCCAGCAGCCGCGGUAAUAC